This is a long non-coding RNA of Gossypium raimondii (Peruvian cotton), 782 nucleotides long. RefSeq lists it as uncharacterized. NCBI's taxonomy places the organism in Eukaryota, Viridiplantae, Streptophyta, Magnoliopsida, Malvales, Malvaceae. The transcript has 3 exons. The record is from RefSeq and is a predicted model, not a curated record.
UAAAUAUCCUGGUCUCUGUAUUAAGUGCUUGAAUAUUCCUAGCCACUGAUUAAAAAAUGGAGAAAGAAACGUUUCCAGAAAUUAAUGAAUAAAGAAAUUAUUCUGGAUUUUGUUUUUGGAAUUCUUGUAAUGUAAUUUUAUCAAGUAGAGAGUUCACAACAUGGGGAAAGAAUCAAUGCUUGAAAGAGAACCAAGUUAGCAUGAUCUUCCACCGGCUCGGUUUCAGCGCACCGAUCAGUGGAUACCGGUCUAUUCAUGGUUAGAAUCUUUGGAUACCGAUGAAGUGGUCCAAUCGAAAGAUAUUUUGGAUUGGUUGAACGAUAACCCACAAGUCAAGGACCAAUUGUGCUCUAGGCAUUCGCGGUACCAUUUGAUGCACUACAUAAAAAAGUGCCAUUUAAAGAUAUUAAAGAGGAGGGAAAAGAAGGUUGGAUCGCAGCCCUUGAAUAAAGAAAGUGUUUUGAAAGUUCGGAAGGAUGUAGUGGCAAAAAACCAGCACCAGUGCCUAGUAUGUCUCAAAUUUCUGUUAAUUUUAUAUAAUGUUUAGGGCAGGUUUGAUGUUCGAUGCAAAAAGAGCAUUCUUUUGCUUUCCUGAGAGGAGAGGAGAGGAGAGGAGAGGAGAGAUAAUCAUUGUCGAGACACAUUGCAUAUAGGAAAUUUGUAAUGGUAAUUUACUUAAGUAGAUGUUUACAAAUCUAGAAAUUAAUUCAGAUCAAACACGAAUGGUUUGUAAUCAUACCAUUAUGACUAUUAAAUAAAUUUAGUGGGAUAUUUCUAGUGUC